CGGGUGAGUAAUGUCUGGGAAACUGCCUGAUGGAGGGGGGUAACUACUGGAAACGGUAGCUAAUACCGCAUAAUGUCUGCGGACCAAAGCGGGGGACCUCCGGGCCUCUUGCCAUCGGAUGUGCCCAGAUGGGAUUAGCUAGUAGGUGGGGUAACGGCUCACCUAGGCGACGAUCCCUAGCUGGUCUGAGAGGAUGACCAGCCACACUGGAACUGAGACACGGUCCAG
RNAcentral lists this ribosomal RNA (228 nucleotides) under uncultured bacterium. Its description in RNAcentral is "partial 16S ribosomal RNA". It matches the Rfam family "Bacterial small subunit ribosomal RNA", at positions 103 to 334 of the family's 1533-position model. The record is from RNAcentral.